CCUACGGGUGGCUGCAGUGGGGAAUAUUGGACAAUGGGGGCAACCCUGAUCCAGCCAUGCCGCGUGUGUGAAGAAGGCCCUCGGGUUGUAAAGCACUUUCAGUGAGGAAGGACGCCUGGUGGUUAAUACCCAUCAGGAAAGACAUCACUCACAGAAGAAGCACCGGCUAACUCCGUGCCAGCAGCCGCGGUAAUACGGAGGGUGCGAGCGUUAAUCGGAAUUACUGGGCGUAAAGCGCGCGUAGGUGGCUUGAUAAGCCGGUUGUGAAAGCCCCGGGCUCAACCUGGGAACGGCAUCCGGAACUGUCAAGCUAGAGUGCAGGAGAGGAAGGUAGAAUUCCCGGUGUAGCGGUGAAAUGCGUAGAGAUCGGGAGGAAUACCAGUGGCGAAGGCGGCCUUCUGGACUGACACUGACACUGAGGUGCGAAAGCGUGGGUAGCAAACAGGAUUAGAUACCCGAGUAGUC
This 465-nucleotide ribosomal RNA is filed under the name Vreelandella stevensii. RNAcentral's name for it is "partial 16S ribosomal RNA". It matches the Rfam family "Bacterial small subunit ribosomal RNA", at positions 338 to 795 of the family's 1533-position model. Lineage: Bacteria; Pseudomonadati; Pseudomonadota; Gammaproteobacteria; Oceanospirillales; Halomonadaceae. The record is from RNAcentral.